GAUGAACGCUGGCGGCGUGCCUAAUACAUGCAAGUAGAACGCUGAAGGAGGAGCUUGCUCUUCUGGAUGAGUUGCGAACGGGUGAGUAACGCGUAGGUAACCUGCCUGGUAGCGGGGGAUAACUAUUGGAAACGAUAGCUAAUACCGCAUGACAACAGUUAUUGCAUGAUAACUGUUUAAAAGGGGCAACUGCUCCACUACCAGAUGGACCUGCGUUGUAUUAGCUAGUUGGUGAGGUAACGGCUCACCAAGGCGACGAUACAUAGCCGGCCUGGGAGGGGGGUCGGCCACACUGGGACUGGGACACGGCCCAGACUCCUACGGGAGGCAGCAGGAGGGAAACUUCGGCAAUGGACGGAAGUCUGACCGAGCAACGCCGCGUGAGGGAAGAAGGGUUUCGGAUCGUAAAGCUCUGUUGUAAGAGAAGAACGAGUGGGAGAGUGGAAAGUUCACGCUGUGACGGUAUCUUACCAGAAAGGGACGGCUAACUACGUG
Molecule: ribosomal RNA, 495 nt
Filed under: uncultured bacterium
Lineage: Bacteria
Description: partial 16S ribosomal RNA
Rfam family: Bacterial small subunit ribosomal RNA
Source: RNAcentral